Molecule: microRNA precursor, 103 nt
Filed under: Marmota monax (woodchuck)
Lineage: Eukaryota; Metazoa; Chordata; Mammalia; Rodentia; Sciuridae
Source: RNAcentral
AGCACAAUUGCUGGAUCAUAUGGUAAGUGUAUGUUUAGUUUUAUAAGAAACUGCCAACCUGUGUUCCAAAGUUGCUAUACUAUUUUGCAUUCCUGCCAACAAU